Paramarasmius palmivorus is the source of this 90-nucleotide non-coding RNA. NCBI's taxonomy places the organism in Eukaryota, Fungi, Basidiomycota, Agaricomycetes, Agaricales, Marasmiaceae. The record is from the annotation of a GenBank genome assembly.
UCCGUUAUGGUGUAGUGGCUAACAUUAUCGCCUCUCAUUCUUUGUGAUAUAGUUGGUGCGCGAUAGCCCAUUCGAUUCCCUGUAACGGAA